UUGCCACCUUGGUCCCAAAUCCCAUCACAGUAGCACUGUUCUUCCUUCGCAGGCAGCAGCUGCUCCCAAAGCGGCAAACAGGCACUUCCCGUGACCCCGUCUUCCCCAUUGCUUCUCUUCUCGGCAUUCUCGCUCAGCCGGCGGCAGACUACCCCUGAACCCUUGGUACUGCCCUUUCACCUCCUGCCGCUCGCUCCAAAUCUCUUUUCCCAGCGCCGAACUGGCGACGCCGAGAGAGGAGGAACCCCCAUCCACCCUCUUUGGAAUCCGUCGAGGCAAGAUGGCGUUUCCGAACCAACAGACGGUGGAUUACCCUAGCUUCAAGCUCGUGAUCGUUAGGGACGGCGGGACAGGUGACCCUUUCUUUAUUUCUUUACUCUUUCCUUUUCUCUUUCUUUCUUUCCUUUUUUUUGUUUUUUAUAAUUUUCUUUCUUCUUCCUACACUGAUCCAUAGUUUUAGGCGAUUAAGUUCUUUCUUGCCUUCUUGAUCCAUAUUUUUUGGUUGAUUGAUCGGACGAAAGAGAACUGAUUUUUAAGAAGUUCUGUGAUCUGCUGCGGGGAAGACUACCUUCGUCAAGAGACAUCUCAUGGGGGAAUUUGAGAAGAAAUAUGAACCUACCAUUGGUGUCGAAGUCCAUCCCUUGGAUUGCCACACCAACUGUGGAAGGGUCCAGUUCUACUGCUGGGAUACUGCAGGACAGGAGAAGUUUGGUGGGCUUAGGGAUGGAUAUUAAAGAAAGUAAGGAGUACAAUAAGGGCGGAAGCUCUACUGUGGACGUCCACAAGAACUCCCCGAAAUGUCGUGCAAUAUAGAAGGCGACCUAAUCUGCAGCCUUGUUCGCCUUCCGAAAAGCAUGUACUACCUGGUGCUUGCCCAUUUCCACCACCAGCCUGCGUAUCUCACGAAUAACGGGAUGAGUCUCUCUCGAUAUACAUCCGCUCGGCACCGAGCAUCCGCCUCGCAUAUGAUAUACCUUCCCAAGCUGCUCAAAGCUUUGCCUCAACUACGGUAAAACCUGUUGAAUUAAAUCAAAUAUUUUAAAAAUUUGAAAACCAAAUUGGUUAACGGCCAAGUGGCAAGUAUUCGUGCACAAGCAAGGGAGCAAACAUGGAAAAUUCCUAAAGAAAACAAACCAUGACAAGUGUCAUGCAUCCAGCGUAGGAGCAAAUAUGAAAAAAUUUCCAAAGAAAGCAAACCAUGACAAGUGUCAUGCAUCCAGCGCAAGAGCAAGCAUGGAAAGGCCUAUCGAAGAAGGAAGCAUGAACGGCCAAGAUGGAAUAAGCCGAAGAAUCAAAUGAGCACAAAAAGACACAUCAUCAAUCCGCGGGAAGGGAAUCUUCUUCUUUUGACGUGCCUGAGCCUAUAUAAAGGGCUCUAGGGAUCAUUUCAAACUACAAUCAAAAUUUUCUCUUCUCCCUAUUCCAAAAGUCUAGAUAAAAAAGGUUCUAGGGAUCAUUGGGAAGAAAAGAAAUAAAGAAAAAUUUUCUUCUCCUCAUAAUUUUUCUAAGUUUUUUUUGAGGUAUUUGCAAGCGUGAACGUGCUCUUCUUUCUUCCCUGAAGGUGCACUGACGGGGAUGACGUGGUUCUGUAUUGGGUCGUCGUAUCUCUAGGAGAUCUGUGCUAGCAGACCCCGCCUCUUUUUCUUUAUUUUAUUAUUAUAUUGUCAAGUUUUGCUAGUUUAUUCUUCUUAUUUACUGUUUUUGAAUAUUAAAAAUAUUAAAUUUAUCAAUUAUAUUUGUGCAUCUAGGCUAACAAAACCUGAAAUGCGACGACCCUCUGCUACGACCAGACUGCCGCGGUGGUCUUUGAUCACAAAUCCAACACCUCCUAACCGCCCAUCUAACACCACACUACCAUCAAAAUUUAUCUUGAGAAAAACAGAGGCUGGGGGCACCCAAGAAAUAAAAACAAACCUGUUAGGGUUGGGUUUUUUUUUUUUUUUUUUUUUUUUUUUUUUUUUUUCGCGCGCGCGCGCUGUGAACAUGAGCUUUAUUAAGUUGAUGGUUUUCGUGUGAGUGGGUUGUGUACUUUCACCUUGAGAGUCGUCUAUGCAUGCUUCAUUCUGGUCUAUAUUGGGAUUUUGGACAGAAUUCAUAUCAAUCAGGGCCGGCCCAACCCAACCCUUAAGAGUUAUUUGAUGUAUAUAUUUCAUUUUGUAUAA
This is a non-coding RNA of Phoenix dactylifera (date palm), 2162 nucleotides long. The record is from RefSeq and is a predicted model, not a curated record. NCBI's taxonomy places the organism in Eukaryota, Viridiplantae, Streptophyta, Magnoliopsida, Arecales, Arecaceae.